This 338-nucleotide ribosomal RNA is filed under the name Bulla gouldiana (California bubble). Its description in RNAcentral is "partial 12S small subunit ribosomal RNA". Lineage: Eukaryota; Metazoa; Mollusca; Gastropoda; Cephalaspidea; Bullidae. The record is from RNAcentral.
UAGCCCACAAAGAAAAUUCUAAGCACUACAGCUAUAAAGCUAAAACUUAAAGAACAUGGCGGCGGGCUCUAACUUCAGGGGAACCUACCAGAUAAAUGAUAACCCGCAAAAUUUCUUACUCUCCCUAAUAACUUAUAUAUCGCCGUCAGUGUGAUCUUUGAAGAAAAUUACAAAAUGUAUUACUACAAGAAGACAGGUCAUGACAUAGUAGAUGGGAGAGACGUAAGGUGGGUUACAAUAAAAAUUUUUUUCAGACGCUGGUUCAUAAAUCAGCUAUAAGAUGGACUUGAAAGUAAAUGUUAAAAGAAAUAUGCAACUGAAUCAAUAAGAGCACGUGU